RNAcentral lists this long non-coding RNA (1044 nucleotides) under Erythranthe guttata (spotted monkey flower). RNAcentral describes it as "long non-coding RNA (EGUT_LNC002420)". The record is from RNAcentral. Lineage: Eukaryota; Viridiplantae; Streptophyta; Magnoliopsida; Lamiales; Phrymaceae.
CCAUUACACAAAUCGCAAAACGUCGUCUGCUCCUUCAAUACUCGAUUAAAAAACCAUCGUUCAUAAUUGCAUCGAGAUCUGCAGGAAAGACACAAGACGGAUCCACAUAAACAACCAAAUCACGUGAAUGAAAUAAACUAGUUAAAGGAAUGGCAAUUAGUUUAAAGCAAGAUUAGAUAUUCGAUAGACAAAAUCUCUGCAAUACGGGCAAAAAUUAAAGAACGGAACAUAGUGUAGAACCAACCCAUGACGAUUUUCUUCAUAUCUACCAAGAUAACACAAAUCCAACAAAAAAUCGAAGCUCUUAGUAACUAAAAAGUAAAUCACAAUUACAAUUUCAGAAUUAUCUGCUUAUUUUAAUUACCUCCAAACACAACCCUUUUCAACUUCAGAAGCACAUAUAGCUAAAUUGAGAAAAUAAAUUCAUGCUUCAGAUCAGCAUCAAAUUGAACUUUUUUUUUUUAAAAAGACAGCUGGAAAACAGUAAAGGGUCAAUGAAAAAGCACAGAUCUUGAACAAUGGCUACCUCUUCUCAGCAAAAAAAAAAACCUAGCAAGAGGGCUCCAUUAAAACCCCACAAUGCUGAAAGAAAACACAACCCACAAACCAAGAAAAAGCAGCAGCCCACACUCAAAAAAGAAAGAGAGAGAAAGUCACAAAGAUCACAACUUUAGGGUUUACAAUUUUUAAUCGAUUUAACAAUGGAGGGGGAACUAAAUUAAACUUUUUUUUAAAAUAAUAAUUAAAGAAAGGCAGCGAAGUGUAGAGAGAGAGAGAGAGAGAAUUAAAGAAGAGAGUGACACCUCCAGUCCACCACCUCACCUUGCUCCAAAAGUGUGUGGUGUCCUAAUGUUUAUGAUAGCGAGAAAAAGAAAAAGGAAAGAAAAGGGUUUGAGAGAAUAUUGAAAGAGAGAGCUGGGUAGGUGUGUAUGUGUGUGUGUUUGUGUGUGUGAGAGAAAGAGAGAGAGAGAGAGAGAGAGAGAGAGAGAGUGGUGGAGGGGUCAAAAGAAGGGUAAAGUAAAGCUUUUACAUGUGCAAUAAUUU